Molecule: ribosomal RNA, 423 nt
Filed under: uncultured cyanobacterium
Lineage: Bacteria; Bacillati; Cyanobacteriota
Description: bacterial SSU rRNA
Rfam family: Bacterial small subunit ribosomal RNA
Source: RNAcentral
GAAUUUUCCGCAAUGGGCGAAAGCCUGACGGAGCAAUACCGCGUGAGGGAAGACGGUCUAUGGGUUGUAAACCUCUUUUCUCAGGGAGGAACUCAAUGACGUGUACCUGAGGAAUAAGCAUCNGCCAAACUCCGUGCCAGCAGCCGCGGUAAGACGGAGGAUGCAAGUGUUAUCCGGAAUCACUGGGCGUAAAGCGUCUGUAGGUGGUUUAAUAAGUCAACUGUUAAAUCUUGAGGCUCAACUUCAAAAUCGCAGUCGAAACUAUUAGACUAGAGUAUAGUAGGGGUAAAGGGAAUUUCCAGUGGAGCGGUGAAAUGCGUAGAGAUUGGAAAGAACACCGAUGGCGAAGGCACUUUACUGGGCUAUUACUAACACUCAAGACGAAAGCUAGGGUAGCAAAUGGGAUUAGAUACCCCAGUAGUC